RNAcentral lists this long non-coding RNA (915 nucleotides) under Piliocolobus tephrosceles (Ugandan red Colobus). RNAcentral's name for it is "lncRNA (ENSPTEG00000027384.1)". Lineage: Eukaryota; Metazoa; Chordata; Mammalia; Primates; Cercopithecidae. The record is from RNAcentral.
UUUAUUUAUCAUAUUAUCAUUUAAAUAUGUAAUAAUCGAAUAAUACCUAUAUAUAAAUUGAAUAAUACAUAUGCAUAAAUUGAAUAAUACAUAUACAUAAAUUGAAUAAUACAUAUAUAUAUAAAUUGAAUGAAAUAUAUACAUAAAUCGAAUAACAUAUAUAUAUAUAUAUAUAUAUAUAUAUAUAUAUAUUUAAAACAUUGUAUUGUGUUUUGUGAAAAACUUGUGCAUGUUGUCAUUGAUUAAGCGAUAAUUUUUUGUGUAUAUAUUUAAAACAUUGUAUUGUGGUUUGUGAAAAACUUGUGCAUGUUGUCAUUGAUUAAGUGAUAAUUUUUUGUGUAUAUAUUUAAAACAUUGUAUUGUGUUUUGUGAAAAACUUGUGCAUGUUGUCAUUGAUUAAGUGAUAAUUUUUUGUGCCUGUAUAACACAUAUUUUAAAACAAAAAAAAAAAAAAUUUUUAAUAUUAUACACUUUUAUUUAAUAUAUUUAUAAAUUUAAAAGAAAAUACCAUUUAAGAAAAUGGCAGAAAGAGAUAUGUUGGGAUAUGAAAAUAGAUCACUGAGUUUAAGUGAUACGGACAAUGCCAGUAAUAACGAAUCCAUCUUACAAUCAUUUGGAGAAACUCAUAUAAGGUCACAUCUUAAUAAUACGAGUAGUGAUACAGAUGGCUCAUUAGCGCUAAAUUUUAUCGUAUACUUUGUAGUUUUCAUUGUUUGUUUGUAUAUUUUUCUUUUUUGUUUAAACGUGAUAAAAAAAAAUUUUAGAUCAAGAGAGACGUCAUGGCUAUGGUAUGCAUGUUCUAUUUAAUAGACUCGCUGGACAAAACGGAGCCGGUGGGGUAAAUGUUCCACUACUCACAGAGAAUUUUUAUGAUCGUCAUAGAGGAUAAUAAAAUGAACAGUUCUAAUAAAUACA